AGUGAACGCUGGCGGUAGGCCUAACACAUGCAAGUCGAGCGGCAGCACAGUAAGAGCUUGCUCUUACGGGUGGCGAGUGGCGGACGGGUGAGGAAUACAUCGGAAUCUACUUUUUCGUGGGGGAUAACGUAGGGAAACUUACGCUAAUACCGCAUACGACCUACGGGUGAAAGCAGGGGAUCUUCGGACCUUGCGCGAUUGAAUGAGCCGAUGUCGGAUUAGCUAGUUGGCGGGGUAAAGGCCCACCAAGGCGACGAUCCGUAGCUGGUCUGAGAGGAUGAUCAGCCACACUGGAACUGAGACACGGUCCAGACUCCUACGGGAGGCCGCAGUGGGGAAUAUUGGACAAUGGGCGCAAGCCUGAUCCAGCCAUACCGCGUGGGUGAAGAAGGCCUUCGGGUUGUAAAGCCCUUUUGUUGGGAAAGAAAAGCAGCAGGUUAAUACCCCGCUGUUCUGACGGUACCCAAAGAAUAAGCACCGGCUAACUUCGUG
Molecule: ribosomal RNA, 492 nt
Filed under: uncultured bacterium
Lineage: Bacteria
Description: partial 16S ribosomal RNA
Rfam family: Bacterial small subunit ribosomal RNA
Source: RNAcentral